RNAcentral lists this ribosomal RNA (337 nucleotides) under uncultured bacterium. RNAcentral's name for it is "bacterial SSU rRNA". It matches the Rfam family "Bacterial small subunit ribosomal RNA", at positions 28 to 363 of the family's 1533-position model. The record is from RNAcentral.
GACGAACGCUGGCGGCGUGCCUAACACAUGCAAGUCGAGCGAAGAGGAGGGAGCUUGCUUCCGAAUCUUAGCGGCGGACGGGUGAGUAACGCGUGAGCAAUCUGCCUCAGACAGGGGAUAACGCAUCGAAAGAUGUGCUAAUACCGCGUAAGACCACAGCACCGCAUGGUGCAGGGGUCAAAGGAGCAAUCCGGUUUGAGAUGAGCUCGCGUCCGAUUAGCUAGUUGGUGAGAUAACAGCCCACCAAGGCGACGAUCGGUAGCCGACUGAGAGGGUGAUCGGCCACAUUGGAACUGAGACACGGUCCAGACUCCUACGGGAGCAGCAGUGAGGAAUA